This 546-nucleotide ribosomal RNA is filed under the name uncultured Gemmatimonas sp. Its description in RNAcentral is "bacterial SSU rRNA". It matches the Rfam family "Bacterial small subunit ribosomal RNA", at positions 355 to 897 of the family's 1533-position model. Lineage: Bacteria; Pseudomonadati; Gemmatimonadota; Gemmatimonadia; Gemmatimonadales; Gemmatimonadaceae. The record is from RNAcentral.
UGGGGAAUCUUGCGCAAUGGUCGAAAGACUGACGCAGCGACGCCGCGUGUGGGAGGACGCCUUUCGGGGUGUAAACCACUGUUGCCCGGGACGAAUUGCUUCAUUCGUGGAGCGUGACGGUACCGGGUGAGGAAGCACCGGCUAACUCCGUGCCAGCAGCCGCGGUAAUACGGAGGGUGCGAGCGUUGUCCGGAAUCAUUGGGCGUAAAGGGCGCGUAGGUGGCCCGGUCAGUCCGUGGUGAAAGCGCGGGGCUCAACCCUGCGUCGGCCAUGGAUACUGCCGCGGCUCGAGCACUGUAGAGGCAGGCGGAAUUCCGGGUGUAGCGGUGGAAUGCGUAGAGAUCCGGAAGAACACCGGUGGCGAAGGCGGCCUGCUGGGCAGUAUGGCUGACACUGAGGCGCGACAGCGUGGGGAGCAAACAGGAUUAGAUACCCUGGUAGUCCACGCCGUAAACGAUGGGCACUAGGCGCUUGGGGGAGCGACCCCCCGAGGGCCGGCGCUAACGCAUUAAGUGCCCCGCCUGGGGAGUACGGCCGCAAGGCUGA